RNAcentral lists this ribosomal RNA (429 nucleotides) under bacterium. RNAcentral describes it as "partial 16S ribosomal RNA". It matches the Rfam family "Bacterial small subunit ribosomal RNA", at positions 355 to 776 of the family's 1533-position model. The record is from RNAcentral.
UGGGGAAUCUUCCGCAAUGGACGAAAGUCUGACGGAGCAACGCCGCGUGAGUGAUGACGGCCUUCGGGUUGUAAAGCUCUGUUAAUCGGGACGAAUGGUUCUUGUGCGAAUAGUGCAAGGAUUUGACGGUACCGGAAUAGAAAGCCACGGCUAACUACGUGCCAGCAGCCGCGGUAAUACGUAGGUGGCAAGCGUUGUCCGGAAUUAUUGGGCGUAAAGCGCGCGCAGGCGGAUUGGUCAGUCUGUCUUAAAAGUUCGGGGCUUAACCCCGUGAUGGGAUGGAAACUGCCAAUCUAGAGGAUCGGAGAGGAAAGUGGAAUUCCUAGUGUAGCGGUGAAAUGCGUAGAUAUUAGGAAGAACACCAGUGGCGAAGGCGACUUUCUGGACGAAAACUGACGCUGAGGCGCGAAAGCCAGGGGAGCGAACGGG